RNAcentral lists this ribosomal RNA (821 nucleotides) under Bacillus velezensis. Its description in RNAcentral is "bacterial SSU rRNA". It matches the Rfam family "Bacterial small subunit ribosomal RNA", at positions 71 to 875 of the family's 1533-position model. Lineage: Bacteria; Bacillati; Bacillota; Bacilli; Caryophanales; Bacillaceae. The record is from RNAcentral.
GAUGGGAGCUUGCUCCCUGAUGUUAGCGGCGGACGGGUGAGUAACACGUGGGUAACCUGCCUGUAAGACUGGGAUAACUCCGGGAAACCGGGGCUAAUACCGGAUGGUUGUUUGAACCGCAUGGUUCAGACAUAAAAGGUGGCUUCGGCUACCACUUACAGAUGGACCCGCGGCGCAUUAGCUAGUUGGUGAGGUAACGGCUCACCAAGGCAACGAUGCGUAGCCGACCUGAGAGGGUGAUCGGCCACACUGGGACUGAGACACGGCCCAGACUCCUACGGGAGGCAGCAGUAGGGAAUCUUCCGCAAUGGACGAAAGUCUGACGGAGCAACGCCGCGUGAGUGAUGAAGGUUUUCGGAUCGUAAAGCUCUGUUGUUAGGGAAGAACAAGUGCCGUUCAAAUAGGGCGGCACCUUGACGGUACCUAACCAGAAAGCCACGGCUAACUACGUGCCAGCAGCCGCGGUAAUACGUAGGUGGCAAGCGUUGUCCGGAAUUAUUGGGCGUAAAGGGCUCGCAGGCGGUUUCUUAAGUCUGAUGUGAAAGCCCCCGGCUCAACCGGGGAGGGUCAUUGGAAACUGGGGAACUUGAGUGCAGAAGAGGAGAGUGGAAUUCCACGUGUAGCGGUGAAAUGCGUAGAGAUGUGGAGGAACACCAGUGGCGAAGGCGACUCUCUGGUCUGUAACUGACGCUGAGGAGCGAAAGCGUGGGGAGCGAACAGGAUUAGAUACCCUGGUAGUCCACGCCGUAAACGAUGAGUGCUAAGUGUUAGGGGGUUUCCGCCCCUUAGUGCUGCAGCUAACGCAUUAAGCACUCCGCCUG